This 313-nucleotide long non-coding RNA is filed under the name Carica papaya (papaya). RNAcentral describes it as "long non-coding RNA (CPAP_LNC002949)". The record is from RNAcentral. Lineage: Eukaryota; Viridiplantae; Streptophyta; Magnoliopsida; Brassicales; Caricaceae.
AACGGAAAAAAGGGGGGGAAAUAUGUGGGAAAACACCCACAAGAGAGGGUUGCCCGCGCAGGCACGAUGUAUUGUGCGCGCGUAACAGGUGCAGGAUGUGCGCAUAGUUGCACAUGUCCCAUCCGCGCAAGGCAUAGGGCUAGACCUACGCGCACAUCUUGUCGCGUGCAGGUAGGCCAGUCAGCGUGCAUGGACUGGGCAGGCGCCGCACACUAUGCGCGCGCCGUUCGUGUAGCAAGCCUGUACGAACAGGCCCGCUCGCCUCGCCCCAGCACGUCGUUGGCCUUGCACGUGCGCAGGCUAGCUUCUGUGU